GAGAAAGUAAGAAAGGGCGAAUGGUGGAUGCCUAGGCUCAUUCAGGCGAUGAAGGACGUGAUAAGCUGCGAUAAGCGACGGGUAGGUGCAAAUAACCCUUGAUCCGUUGAUUUCCGAAUGGGACAACCCAGACAUGUGAAGCAUGUCUACUCUGCCUUGUGCAGAGAGCUAACCGGGGGAACUGAAACAUCUUAGUACCCCGAGGAAGAGAAAAUAAAUAAUGAUUCCCUUAGUAG
Molecule: ribosomal RNA, 236 nt
Filed under: Atopobium sp.
Lineage: Bacteria; Bacillati; Actinomycetota; Coriobacteriia; Coriobacteriales; Atopobiaceae
Description: partial 23S ribosomal RNA
Rfam family: Bacterial large subunit ribosomal RNA
Source: RNAcentral